Molecule: long non-coding RNA, 433 nt
Filed under: Fragaria vesca (wild strawberry)
Lineage: Eukaryota; Viridiplantae; Streptophyta; Magnoliopsida; Rosales; Rosaceae
Description: long non-coding RNA (FVES_LNC003446)
Source: RNAcentral
ACAGGCUUCCAGGACGGCUUCUCUCCUUCCAGGACUGACCGGCGACAAGUUUUCCGGCCAACCUUAUCAAUCAUGGUGUUUUCCGUCCAGAGCUUCAAUCCGGCCGGAAAACUUGUCGCCGGCCAGUCCUGGAAGGAGAAAAACCGUCCUGGAAGCCUGUGCUGUCGUCUGGGAAUGAGAGAAACCGUCGCCGGCGUGAGACGGCGGAGAACGGACGAAGUCCGCACUUUAAGCCGAGUGCGGACGGUCCGCUUCUCAUCCUCUCUGUAUAUAUAUAUAUAUAUCAAUCUUAAGUCGGGAUGAAAACAUGAGAUAUCGUUCUGAUAUUUUCUAAACUUGAUAUACCAAAGUUUAUAAGGAACAAAAGUUCCUAUACCAUUCUGACGAAUUUCUCAUAUCACAAAGAUUAUAACAAUAGUUAACAUAAUAUCAU